Tetranychus urticae (two-spotted spider mite) is the source of this 754-nucleotide long non-coding RNA. RefSeq lists it as uncharacterized. The record is from RefSeq and is a predicted model, not a curated record. Lineage: Eukaryota; Metazoa; Arthropoda; Arachnida; Trombidiformes; Tetranychidae.
UACUUUAGCGAUUUCCUAAGCAACUGUAAGUUUUGUCAUCGGUCACAGUAACAGCCAAUGGAAGAGUUUACAGAGUAUUUCUUGGAAAACGUUGAUACAACAGCAUUUUUCUUGCUUCUUUUUCAAUCUCUUUCUUGCUUGUUUUGAUCUUUUGGUCUAACUACACCACAAGGUAUUGAAAUGAUCGCGAUUAGGUCAUCGGGAGAUAGCCUGAAAAAGUUCAGUUCAACUAACAAUAAUUCAUUCUCUCCACCCAUACAUUAACAUGCGCCAUUCAAUCAAGCCAAACAGGAGCAAGAGUUUUACUUCAUCUUAUCUACUGGUUUUUUCGAGUUAAUUACAUUAUCAUACAAUCUAUCGCUGUUAUUAACGUCCAUUUAUGAUUCCUUUGUCCAUCUAAACCAGCCUUUAUCACCCGAAUUAGGAAUGGAUAUCAAUUGAUAAAGUUGACCUGUAAAUUGGUGAAAAAUCAAAUUAAUGGAGAGCAAAUCAACUGAUUUUUCCAGAAAAGAUAUCAAUUUAAAUUUUCAGGUUUCAAUAACCUAUUGUUGAAGGAUAAUAAAUAUGAUGGCUAUAAUGGUGGUGAUAAUAUUGACCAGCUCUAGGCAAUGUCCUUGGUUAUACAAAGUAUAUUUCAAAUCUUUUCGACUUUCUCAUAUCAAUGGUAAAACCUAAUUGAUUGUUACCAGUAAAGUAAACCGUGAACAUCAAGGAACCUGGAAUUUGGAUUUAGACAUUUAAAGACAAUCAAAAC